This is a non-coding RNA of Paramisgurnus dabryanus, 1573 nucleotides long. NCBI's taxonomy places the organism in Eukaryota, Metazoa, Chordata, Actinopteri, Cypriniformes, Cobitidae. The record is from RefSeq and is a predicted model, not a curated record.
ACAGGAGCGUAUGCGUCACCUGGGAUGCGUCACUUGGGGGACUGCUGCGUCGUUAACGCGAUCCCGUCACUUCCGGAAUUGGCUGUGUAUUCUCGAGACGGUAAGGAACGGAUGCACUGUUAGUUAUUUUGUUUAUGUGUGUUUGGUUAUGAGAAGCACACCCUCUGUUUAAUAUGCUUUAGAGUCGCUGAUUAGUUUGGCAAGUGCUUCCGCAUUGAUACUGCGUUCAUCUUGGCGAGUGCUUCCGCAUUGAUACUGCGUUCAUCACAACGGUCUAUUCAAAGAGUGUCUGUACAAAGAGUGGAAAAGGUAGGAUGAAUGCUUUGUGGUUGAUUAACUGGUAAAUGCAUAACCUACUAAUUCGCUCUUUUCCCAGCUGUGCUAUUUUGAUAGCUGCUGGCAUAUUGUGUCUACCUUCAUUCUCAGCUGUGAGAUCUGAUGCGAGUGCGGAAUUAAGGUGCUCCGUAAGGGCAGCUGUUGAAAGCAACUAUUGUUGUCUGUUCGUCAUAAUUAACCCUGUGUUGAUCGGUUUGGGGACUAUCUGGGUCGGGGUGCUCUCUGUCCAUUUACAGCUGCAGUGCUGUCCUGUUUCCAAAGUUUUAUUUUUAUUUGACUUUUCCUUUUGGGUUAUGCUGCUUUGUUUUUGAUUUAUAUAGUUUGAUUCUAAAGUUGAUUAUUUUGGGUUCUACUUGAAUUAUAUUUGUGAUUUGUCCUUAUUUACUUUAUAUUUAAUUAUUUUUGAUUUACAUUUUGAUUUAUAAUUUUUUACUAGUGAAUUUGUUUCUCUUGAUUUCUCAUUGAUUUAUUUAGUUGUGUGUUUUACGCAACCAUUUAUUUGUUGAUUUAUUGGUUGCAAAAGUUGAUUUAUUUCAAUUUAAUUGGGUCUCAUAACCCAGCUCCUGAGGUGAAUCUAUUUGAUGCAUUUUUCUUGUUUUGGCAGGGCUUGAGCACCAGGGGUACAGGACUAGCUUUGGUGGCGGUAGAUUCUUCACAGUGCGUGUGGUUAUCACCGUGUGAGUGUGCGUGUGUGUGUGUGUGUGUGUACACAGUGAAAUGCAGUGGAAUGCAGUGAUUCACGGACCGGUGGUGUGAUCUGAUUAUUAGCUGCCCCAUACUGGGCUUGAGCACCAGGGGUACAGGACUAGCUUUGGUGGCGGUAGAUUCUUCACAGUGCGUGUGGUUAUCACCGUGUGAGUGUGCGUGUGUGUGUGUGUGUGUGUGUGUACACAGUGAAAUGCAGUGGAAUGCAGUGAUUCACGGACCGGUGGUGUGAUCUGAUUAUUAGCUGCCCCAUACUGGUAAGCUCCAGCCCCUGGCCUGACAUUUGCUAUAACCCCUAAUUCAUCGGGUUGAAAAAUUUUGUUUUUUAUCUUUAUCCUGCUUUUAAUCAAGAUUUGUUAAUAAAGACUAUUUUUGUAUUGUUACCCAUGUCUCUGGCUCUAAUUGGUGAUAUGAACUUGCGUAUGCCCUUGUACAUGAUUUAAUUAAAUUCUGUGGGCGAAAUUCCCAUGGUGGCGUAGUUGGCUAUCUUGUUUGAUUCUUACCUUUUCAAAAUAAAAGUCUCCUUGUACCC